AGAUGAUUGAGAACUAGGAUUAAAAGACUAGCAAGGAUUUCUAACAUAUCCAUCAAUUUGUUAUUUGGAUUGAAGUCAAAUUUUUCAUACAAAUAAUAAACCUAACUUCCAAUAAUUAUAAAAAAAUUAAAAUUUAUUGAAUAGUGAAAUUAAGAGAUUUUGGUUCUAAAAUAUUGGCAUCAAGGUUGGAGAAGAAAGUUGGCCAAUAUCCAAGUAGAUUCCAAAGAUUAUCUUCUAUGUAGUAUGUAUGAUCUUUUUUAAUUUUUAGUACUUAUUUUCAAUUUAGCUAAUAAGAAGUGUAAAAAUUUUGAGUUAAAAUCAAUAUUUUGAUCAUUAAUUAUUGAUAUUUCAAUCCAUUAUGGAAUUUAGGGCUUUUUUAGAGCUUAGUUAAGAUUCAUUAGGAUUUCAUUAGGAUUUAGUUAGAAUUUUAUCAAGAUUUAAUUUAGAGAUUUAUUAGGAUUUCAUUAGGAUUUCAUUAGAAUUUGGUUUAAGAUUUAGUUAGGAUUUUUUUAUAGUUUUAUUAGAAUUUGUUUAGAAUUUCAUCGAAAUUGGUUUAGGAUUU
This 562-nucleotide long non-coding RNA is filed under the name Physcomitrium patens. Its description in RNAcentral is "long non-coding RNA (PPAT_LNC011530)". Lineage: Eukaryota; Viridiplantae; Streptophyta; Bryopsida; Funariales; Funariaceae. The record is from RNAcentral.